AGAGUUUAAUCCUGGCUCAGAUUGAACGCUGGCGGCAUGCCUUACACAUGCAAGUCGAACGGCAGCACGGAGCUUGCUCUGGUGGCGAGUGGCGAACGGGUGAGUAAUAUAUCGGAACGUACCCUAGAGUGGGGGAUAACGUAGCGAAAGUUACGCUAAUACCGCAUACGAUCUAAGGAUGAAAGUGGGGGAUCGCAAGACCUCAUGCUCGUGGAGCGGCCGAUAUCUGAUUAGCUAGUUGGUAGGGUAAAAGCCUACCAAGGCAUCGAUCAGUAGCUGGUCUGAGAGGACGACCAGCCACACUGGAACUGAGACACGGUCCAGACUCCUACGGGAGGCAGCAGUGGGGAAUUUUGGACAAUGGGCGAAAGCCUGAUCCAGCAAUGCCGCGUGAGUGAAGAAGGCCUUCGGGUUGUAAAGCUCUUUUGUCAGGGAAGAAACGGUGAAAGCUAAUAUCUUUUGCUAAUGACGGUACCUGAAGAAUAAGCACCGGCUAACUACGUGCCAGCAGCCGCGGUAAUACGUAGGGUGCAAGCGUUAAUCGGAAUUACUGGGCGUAAAGCGUGCGCAGGCGGUUUUGUAAGUCUGAUGUGAAAUCCCCGGGCUCAACCU
RNAcentral lists this ribosomal RNA (612 nucleotides) under uncultured bacterium. RNAcentral describes it as "bacterial SSU rRNA". It matches the Rfam family "Bacterial small subunit ribosomal RNA", at positions 8 to 615 of the family's 1533-position model. The record is from RNAcentral.